This 1133-nucleotide long non-coding RNA is filed under the name Callithrix jacchus (white-tufted-ear marmoset). RNAcentral's name for it is "lncRNA (ENSCJAG00000062979.2)". Lineage: Eukaryota; Metazoa; Chordata; Mammalia; Primates; Cebidae. The record is from RNAcentral.
CUUAUGUGCUCCAUGGCUUUAAAUAUACUAAAGGCUGAUGACUCCAGAAAUUUUAUCUCCAGCCCAGAUCUUUACCAGAGCUCUAGAUUAAUAUAUCCAACUUGCUACUGACAUCUCCAUUGGGAUGAUAAUGAGUAUCUCGAAGGUAACAGAUCUCAAAUGUAAUAUCUGAUAUUUCUCUUAAUACUUGUUCCUUGGCCGGGUGUGGUGGCUCAAGCCUGUAAUCCCAGCACUUUGGGAGGCUGAGGCGGGUGGAUCAUGAGGUCAAGAGAUCGAGACCAUCCUGGUCAACAUGGUGAAACCCCGUCUCUACUAAAAAUACAAAAAAAAAUUAGCUGGACAUGGUGGCAUGUUCCUGUAAUCCCAGCUACUUGGGAGGCUGAGGCAGGAGAAUUGCCUGAACCCAGGAGGCAGAGGUUGCAGUGAGCCGAGAUCGUGCCAUUGCACUCCAGCCUGGGUAACAAGAGCGAAACUCCUCAAAAAAACAAAAAAACAAAAAAACAAACUUUAUCCUUAUGGGGAAAACAUAUUUAAAAGGAUACUGGAUCUUACAUGACAGAACAUGGAAGGAAAGAAAAGUGGAGAGAGGACUCAAGAUGGCACUGUCAGAACAACCCAGGAUUGAAGCUCUCAGUGAAUGCGUGGAGAGAAUGUAUGGCAAGGUCUAUGUUCCUUUCCCUUGGAUCUGGAUGCACCUUCUGACUGCUUGACAAAUAGAAUACGGUAAAAGUGACCAUGUUGCUGGGACCAGGCCUUAAAAAAUUGGAGGUUUCCUCUUCCUGUCUUCUAGGACACCCUUCUUAGUGACCAUACAAGAAGUCCAACUACCCUGAGACCCUCAUGUAGGGAAGAUCAUGUAUAGGCACUCCAGUGGUCCUUCCUGCUGAGCCCAGUCUUCCAGUCAUGCUUGGCAAGGUGCCAGACAUGUGAAUGAAGCCCCUUGGACCUUCUAGACAAGCUGUUACCUAAUCUGAAUUUCAUCAGGUGACCUCAGCCAAGGCCACAUGGAGCAAAAAAAGUGUUCAGACACUGCCUGAAUUCCUGAGCCAGUAAUCAUGAGAUAUAAUAAAAUGGUUGAUAUUUUAAACCCGGCAUGUUGGGUAAAUUGUUAAGCAGCAAUAAUUAACAAAACA